CGCUCUUUGGGGAAAAUUAAGAGUAAGGUCUGCCCAAUGAGAUAAUUGAAUGGCCGCGGUAUUUUGACCGUGCGAAGGUAGCAUAAUCAUUAGUCUAUUAAUUGUAGGCUGGUAUGAAAGGCUAGAUGGGGAAAAGCUGUCUUUUUAGUAAAAUGAAUUUUAGUUUUAUGUGAAGACGCAUAGAUUAAAUUAGGGGACGAGAAGACCCUAUUAAGCUUUAUAUUUAAACUCUAAAUAGGGUAGUUAGAGGGAAGUAUUAUGUUGGGGCGACAGUAGAAUAAACAUCUAUUAUUUAUUAAAUAACUUAAUUAGAUUGUGAUUGAUCCAAAAAUUUUGAUUGUAAGAAUAAGUUACUAUAGGGAUAACAGCGUAAUCUUGUCGGAGAGUUCAUAUUGAUGACAAGGAUUGCGACCUCGAUGUUGAAUUAGGAUACCCGGGGGGUGCAGCAGUUCCUAAGGGUGGUCUGUUCGACCAUUAAAAUCCUACA
This 487-nucleotide ribosomal RNA is filed under the name Lamyctes inermipes. Its description in RNAcentral is "partial 16S ribosomal RNA". It matches the Rfam family "Bacterial large subunit ribosomal RNA", at positions 1817 to 2600 of the family's 2925-position model. The record is from RNAcentral. Lineage: Eukaryota; Metazoa; Arthropoda; Chilopoda; Lithobiomorpha; Henicopidae.